UAGUUUUUUUAGAAAUAAAUUUAAUUUACAAAUUUUUAAUUUUUAAUUUAUUUGAAAAAAUUAAAAAAUUAUUAAUUUGAAUAUCUUAAGGGAUAAGCUUUAAGAUAAAUUAUUAAAAAUAUUAAAUAAUUUAUUAAAAAUGUAUGCAUAGAAUUAGCAAUCAUUUAUAAAUUUGUUAUAAAUUAUUAAUAAGUUUUUAUUAUUUAUUUAUAUUUUAAUUAAUUUAUAAAAAUUUUUUUAUUAAUUUUAAAUAAAAAUUAAUAAUGAUUAAAUUAGUAUAUAUUUUAUGUUAGAAUAUUUUUAUUUGAAAAGUUUAUGUAAAGAACUCGGCAAAUUUAUUUACAAUUAUACUCGCCUGUUUAACAAAAACAUGUCUUUUUGUAUUAUAUAAAAAGUCUAACCUGCCCACUGAAUAAUUUUAAAUGGCCGCAGUAUUUUGACUGUGCAAAGGUAGCAUAANCAUUAGUCUUUUAAUUGAAGGCUGGUAUGAACGGUUGGACGAAGUAUAAUCUGUUUCAUAUAAAAUUAUUAUAGAAUUUUAUAUUUUAGUUAAAAAGCUAAAAUUUUAUUAAAAGACGAGAAGACCCUAUAAAUCUUUAUAUUUAAUAUUAUUUAAAUUUUAUAGAUAAAUUUUAUUUUUAUAAUAUUAAUUAUUUUGUUGGGGUGAUGUUAAAAUUUAAUAAACUUUUAAUUAUUUAAAAUCAUUAAUUUAUGAUUUAUUGAUCCAUUAAUAUUGAUUAUAAGAUUAAGUUACUUUAGGGAUAACAGCGUAAUUUUUUUUGAGAGUUCAUAUCGACAAAAAAGUUUGCGACCUCGAUGUUGGAUUAAGGUAUAAUUUUGGGUGUAGUUGUUCAAAUAUUAAGUCUGUUCGACUUUUA
RNAcentral lists this ribosomal RNA (878 nucleotides) under Anastrepha punctata. RNAcentral's name for it is "partial 16S ribosomal RNA". The record is from RNAcentral. Lineage: Eukaryota; Metazoa; Arthropoda; Insecta; Diptera; Tephritidae.